UGUGUGUGUGUGUGUGUGUGUCGCCCCUGUCACAUCAGUGCAAAAGCACCCCGGUGAAAGCAGUGCUUCUCAAAGAUGCAGUGUGACCUCUGCCAAAUGACCUCUGCCGGGCGGACGGGCCUGUUGAGCACACUGCAGACUGCAGACGUGUGGAGGAGCUCGGAGUGAAGUGAUGAUGCUACUGCUCUGUUGCUGGGAUACUAAGCUGCUGUUCAGAUGCACAGACUGGGCUCAGAGGGUUGGUGGUUUGGCUGGGAACUUUGAGUCUCUCUCUCUCUCUCUCUCUCUCUCUCUCUCUCUCUCUGUCUCUCUCUCUUUCUCUUUCUCUCUCUUUCUCUUUCUCCUUCUCUCUCUCUCCUUCUCUCUCUCUUUCUCCUCCUCUUCUUCUCUCCUCUCUCUCUCUCUUUCUCUCGUCCCCUGAAUUGAUUUAGAAAUGUAGCGUUAUGAUUUUUUCUAAAGCGUGACACUACUCAUUUCUAAGAGCCAAAUUUGAGUGACAUUCACUCAUGUAAUCUCUUCCCUUUUUUUGGUUUGUUUGUUUGUUUGUUUUUAAUAUAGUUUAGCUUCCUUCAUCAACAACUGUUGUGAUUUCUUGACUUUGCUUUGCUUGGCUUGGCUUGAGGUUCCGUGGAGACGGAACAUGCCUCUCUGGAACCGACCCAGAGUGAGCAUCCGUAGCCGGGCUGGAGCACAGACCAGCGGACGUGGGCACGCGUCAGCUGGCUGUGUUCCAGUGUAUUGCUCUUUUCAAACAUGGUCAGCUAUUGUAUUCUUUUUGAUCUGCAGUAAAUCUUUUCUGAAUUCCUGUUGCGGGGUGUCCCAGUGCAGUGUUGGAGAGAGAGUGUGUGUGUGUGUGUGUGUGUGGCUUAGAGCAUGGUGCUGUUCACUGGAGCAGGCCCUGGGCUUUGACUGACACCACUGCUAUCACACAAGUGAAGCAUGGAGCUUACCUGACCUCUGACUAAAGCGGAAGUGGAACUUCUCGCGUGGCGUGGCCGUUGGGAGGGACUUGCGCAGCCUCCGUGGUGAACACCCGACAAGAGCGUGUUUCCGAGUGUAGCACCUACUAGAACCUUAGGCUGGUCCCCUGCACCCACUCUGGCACCCUUCCACUCCCAGUGCUGGUGCUCAGGAUGGGUGGAGAGGGGGCGUGUGGGGGGCCAAUGGGUGCAAGGCUGUGGAACCAUGGAAAUUGAACUGUAGCUAUUGUUGUGAAACGUUCCGUCAUAAGAUUCUGUGCCUGAAAGUGCCCUUCAUGGGUGCAAGGGUGCGGGGAUGAGGGUGAAGGGACCAUGUCAGUACGAGGGUCCAGUCUGGCCCGCACGGGGGGUCAAGUCUGGCCCGCACGGGGGUCAAGUCUGCCCUGCACGGUGUGAUCUGGUCUCCCUUAAGAGCAGGUCCUGCACACCAGUGUGUGUCUGCUGUCCUGGUGUCACUGUCCGCUACUCUGAGCACACCAAUUCCAACAGCGUUUUAAAGUAACUAACAUCAAAACUUAAUUUAAUGCAUCAAAAACAGACACAUUGAAGUCUUGUUAUCAAUUAAAACAAAUGUUAAUUUUCUGCUGAGGGGAAGGGGGUAAAUGUGGACAAUUAGACUAGGCUAGCUUUUACGUAUUACUAAGUAAAAAAAAUUCAAUUUAACAAAUAGCUGGAGUAAGGCUAAAUGAAAUCCCAUGGCUCCGACCUCAAGGUGAUCUUCCAGAUGUGUAUGUGGGGUGAAACAUUGACUCGUCUAUUAAAUAGAUGAACUACAACAGCUGGAACUUUGAACUAAAAUGAUGUGUUGUACUUAUUACUAUUGUCUCUCAUUGCAUCAGAUAACUGGCAGAUGUGACCUUAGUGAUGCAGUUCCAUGUUUGGACACUUUUGUUUUUGUUUGGUUUAUCCCAAUGUCCUGCCAGUGAAAUACUGGGGGAGUUAUAUAGGGUUUUAUGAAGAUGUGCAAUUGUUCGUCGGCUGUGUCCCAUUGUCACAGCCAGGUGGCGCUCUAGCCAACAUGAGGCUUCUCCAAGCUCUGUGUGUGUGUGUUGGAUCAUGUCCCGUAGUUCAUGAAUAUUGCGAUUUAAAAAAAAAAAAAAAACAUUCACAGUAACAAAAAGCAGCUACAUCCAUCUGAUUAAGACAUCCAAAAAACUUUUAAUACUUUUCUACAUAUAUCUUUUCUUUAUGCUAUUAAAUUGUUUGAUUUCUUAUAUACAUAGUGUACAAAUGUGGAGGAAAUUAGUUGUCUGUUUUGGAGAAAACAUUAAAGUGCAAAAUGGUGCAAAUGUUUACCUGACUUGUGUGUACUGUACCGAUUCCAGUUAGUAUUGGGAAGUCCAGUGAAGGGUUAUGGAAACACUGGCAAUGUAACAUUACUGACUAAAGCAAGAUCUGG
Clupea harengus (Atlantic herring) is the source of this 2379-nucleotide long non-coding RNA. Lineage: Eukaryota; Metazoa; Chordata; Actinopteri; Clupeiformes; Clupeidae. The record is from Ensembl.